This is a long non-coding RNA of Esox lucius (northern pike), 1182 nucleotides long. The record is from Ensembl. Lineage: Eukaryota; Metazoa; Chordata; Actinopteri; Esociformes; Esocidae.
CAUCUUGUGUCUUUGGUUUCCUUUUCCCAACGGACAGACCGAUCAAUUGAGACAGGAAGAUGGUCAAAGUGGGUACAGGACAAGAGGUCAUCCCGAACGCAAGCGCACACACACACACGCACGCACACACACACGCACAACCCUGUUGCUAAGAGGGGAAGAGCCAUGGACACACAUCCUUUGACCUGUGACCUGUUCCUGGUCACUGGGCGUCAACAGGAAACUGUGUCCUUGACGUAGUAUGUCAUCAACCCAGCCCGACAGACUGGACGAGCAGAUAGCACACUCACUGGGAACAGCGGAACUGUAUCACAACACAACUACCUCAGUGAGACUGGGAACGGACAUGAGUGAAGGUACAUUCGGCAGAGCGUUGGUCCCAGAUGAUUUCCCUUUUUUAUGAUUUGUUUUUUUUGUCAGCUGCAGAUACAUCAACACCCAACGACCAUAACUCACACUAGGAUGAUCUGAGGUGUGUGUCAGAGACUACAGCUGCUGGUAAUAUCGCAGCAAGUUUGAAGAUCCAAACACAUCUUCACCCAAGCCACGAGUCUCUUCAGUGAAUUUCAAAAGGUGCCAAAUCUGUUGCAGUCAUCCAUCUAUUUUACAUUCCAGAGAAUUCAACUUUCCAACUCAUCUUCAAGCCCUUGACUAGCAGAAACAGACUCUCUAUAUGCACACAUCCACCAGGGGGUGCAAAAUGAGCUGUUCCAGUAUCAUCCAACGACCAGAAAGGAAUGAGCGAAGAUGUGUGAGCCGGAGGACACUAAGAUGUAUCAGAGCCCAACUUGGAGCGUCAGGGGAAAAUGGUCUGAAUACUUAUGUACAUUCGUUUUUUUUAAAUUACUAUUAUUUUUUUCCCAUUGAAUUGGCACAAAUUUCCAAAACUUGUUUUUGCCUUAUUACGCCGUAUUGUUUAGAAUGAUGGCAUUUUGUCUUUAAACUUUAUAAUCAAGUCCGUAGCAGAAAAUGUUUUGAAGGGAAGCUGUGCGAAUACUUUCCGAAGGCACUGUAAUCCCUCAUUCAUCUGCCCCCACGGCUGCUCCCACCGACCUUCAGUAUAUCUCAGAUGACAGUGACAUAACACGGCCCACCAAAAAUAAAAUGGGCGGACAUUCAACAAGCAAGCUAUCAUUUCAUGACUCAGUUCUAACCAUGCUAGCUGAAUCCCUUAAUUUUAAU